RNAcentral lists this ribosomal RNA (492 nucleotides) under uncultured bacterium. Its description in RNAcentral is "partial 16S ribosomal RNA". It matches the Rfam family "Bacterial small subunit ribosomal RNA", at positions 29 to 507 of the family's 1533-position model. The record is from RNAcentral.
AGUGAACGCUGGCGGUAGGCCUAACACAUGCAAGUCGAACGGCAGCACAGUAAGAGCUUGCUCUUACGGGUGGCGAGUGGCGGACGGGUGAGGAAUACAUCGGAAUCUACUUUUUCGUGGGGGAUAAUGUAGGGAAACUUACGCUAAUACCGCAUACGACCUACGGGUGAAAGCAGGGGAUCUUCGGACCUUGCGCGAUUGAAUGAGCCGAUGUCGGAUUAGCUAGUUGGCGGGGUAAAGGCCCACCAAGGCGACGAUCCGUAGCUGGUCUGAGAGGGUGAUCAGCCACACUGGAACUGAGACACGGUCCAGACUCCUACGGGAGGCGGCAGUGGGGAAUAUUGGACAAUGGGCGCAAGCCUGAUCCAGCCAUACCGCGUGGGUGAAGAAGGCCUUCGGGUUGUAAAGCCCUUUUGUUGGGAAAGAAAAGCAGCAGGUUAAUACCCCGCUGUUCUGACGGUACCCAAAGAAUAAGCACCGGCUAACUUCGUG